CACUGGUCGAGUCGGCCUGCGCGGAAGAUGUAACGGGGCUAAACCAUGCACCGAAGCUGCGGCAGCGACACUGUGUGUUGUUGGGUAGGGGAGCGUUCUGUAAGCCUGUGAAGGUGUGCUGUGAGGCAUGCUGGAGGUAUCAGAAGUGCGAAUGCUGACAUAAGUAACGAUAAAGCGGGUGAAAAGCCCGCUCGCCGGAAGACCAAGGGUUCCUGUCCAACGUUAAUCGGGGCAGGGUGAGUCGACCCCUAAGGCGAGGCCGAAAGGCGUAGUCGAUGGGAAACAGGUUAAUAUUCCUGUACUUGGUGUUACUGCGAAGGGGGGACGGAGAAGGCUAUGUUGGCCGGGCGACGGUUGUCCCGGUUUAAGCGUGUAGGCUGGUUUUCCAGGCAAAUCCGGAAAAUCAAGGCUGAGGCGUGAUGACGAGGCACUACGGUGCUGAAGCAACAAAUGCCCUGCUUCCAGGAAAAGCCUCUAAGCAUCAGGUAACAUCAAAUCGUACCCCAAACCGACACAGGUGGUCAGGUAGAGAAUACCAAGGCGCUUGAGAGAACUCGGGUGAAGGAACUAGGCAAAAUGGUGCCGUAACUUCGGGAGAAGGCACGCUGAUAUGUAGGUGAAGUCCCUCGCGGAUGGAGCUGAAAUCAGUCGAAGAUACCAGCUGGCUGCAACUGUUUAUUAAAAACACAGCACUGUGCAAACACGAAAGUGGACGUAUACGGUGUGACGCCUGCCCGGUGCCGGAAGGUUAAUUGAUGGGGUCAGCGCAAGCGAAGCUCUUGAUCGAAGCCCCGGUAAACGGCGGCCGUAACUAUAACGGUCCUAAGGUAGCGAAAUUCCUUGUCGGGUAAGUUCCGACCUGCACGAAUGGCGUAAUGAUGGCCAGGCUGUCUCCACCCGAGACUCAGUGAAAUUGAACUCGCUGUGAAGAUGCAGUGUACCCGCGGCAAGACGGAAAGACCCCGUGAACCUUUACUAUAGCUUGACACUGAACAUUGAGCCUUGAUGUGUAGGAUAGGUGGGAGGCUUUGAAGUGUGGACGCCAGUCUGCAUGGAGCCGACCUUGAAAUACCACCCUUUAAUGUUUGAUGUUCUAACGUGGACCCGUGAUCCGGGUUGCGGACAGUGUCUGGUGGGUAGUUUGACUGGGGCGGUCUCCUCCUAAAGAGUAACGGAGGAGCACGAAGGUUGGCUAAUCCUGGUCGGACAUCAGGAGGUUAGUGCAAUGGCAUAAGCCAGCUUGACUGCGAGCGUGACGGCGCGAGCAGGUGCGAAAGCAGGUCAUAGUGAUCCGGUGGUUCUGAAUGGAAGGGCCAUCGCUCAACGGAUAAAAGGUACUCCGGGGAUAACAGGCUGAUACCGCCCAAGAGUUCAUAUCGACGGCGGUGUUUGGCACCUCGAUGUCGGCUCAUCACAUCCUGGGGCUGAAGUAGGUCCCAAGGGUAUGGCUGUUCGCCAUUUAAAGUGGUACGCGAGCUGGGUUUAGAACGUCGUGAGACAGUUCGGUCCCUAUCUGCCGUGGGCGCUGGAGAACUGAGGGGGGCUGCUCCUAGUACGAGAGGACCGGAGUGGACGCAUCACUGGUGUUCGGGUUGUCAUGCCAAUGGCACUGCCCGGUAGCUAAAUGCGGAAGAGAUAAGUGCUGAAAGCAUCUAAGCACGAAACUUGCCCCGAGAUGAGUUCUCCCUGACCCUUUAAGGGUCCUGAAGGAACGUUGAAGACGACGACGUUGAUAGGCCGGGUGUGUAAGCGCAGCGAUGCGUUGAGCUAACCGGUACUAAUGAACCGUGAGGCUUAACCUUACAACGCCGAAGGUGUUU
Molecule: ribosomal RNA, 1820 nt
Filed under: Escherichia coli
Lineage: Bacteria; Pseudomonadati; Pseudomonadota; Gammaproteobacteria; Enterobacterales; Enterobacteriaceae
Description: partial 23S ribosomal RNA
Rfam family: Bacterial large subunit ribosomal RNA
Source: RNAcentral